UGGUGAUGGAAUCUCAGUUGUGAG
RNAcentral lists this non-coding RNA (24 nucleotides) under Mus musculus (house mouse). Lineage: Eukaryota; Metazoa; Chordata; Mammalia; Rodentia; Muridae. The record is from RNAcentral.